AACGUGCCCAGUCGUGGGGGAUAACGCAGCGAAAGCUGUGCUAAUACCGCAUACGAUCUAUGGAUGAAAGCGGGGGACUCGCAAGGGCCUCGCGCGAUUGGAGCGGCCGAUAUCAGAUUAGCUAGUUGGUGAGGUAAUGGCUCACCAAGGCGACGACGGGUAGCCGGCCUGAGAGGGUGACCGGCCACACUGGGACUGAGACACGGCCCAGACUCCUACGGGAGGCAGCAGUGGGGAAUAUUGCACAAUGGGCGCAAGCCUGAUGCAGCAACGCCGCGUGAGG
Molecule: ribosomal RNA, 283 nt
Filed under: uncultured bacterium
Lineage: Bacteria
Description: partial 16S ribosomal RNA
Rfam family: Bacterial small subunit ribosomal RNA
Source: RNAcentral